RNAcentral lists this long non-coding RNA (311 nucleotides) under Helianthus annuus (common sunflower). RNAcentral's name for it is "hypothetical non coding rna". Lineage: Eukaryota; Viridiplantae; Streptophyta; Magnoliopsida; Asterales; Asteraceae. The record is from RNAcentral.
AUGCGCAAGGAAUCCGGAACGUUAAGUGGACACGCCGGAAGUGAUACCCGCGGAAAAGGUGUGCUUUAAAGGUAUGGAUGAGUUCCCUUUCGGAUGAUGAUCAAGGCAUUAUCAAGAACCGAACACGUAUUUUGAAGCUUCCGCGUUGACUCAACUUGUUUUAGACAAUGAUUUUGAUGUAAAUGAAUUGAUAACCAUGUCUUAAUGUUUUUAAACUAGUCGGUAGCGAUUAGUAGAAGUUACUUUAAAACUUUUUUUUUUACUUAGCAUGAUCAUGUUGCUAUUUCUAAUCGAAAACAUUUUGUAAGUUG